AUGGAAAAGGAGGACCAGUAUCUCAGGGGAAGGGAGACAUACAUGCUCUACUCUUCUCCUUUUCAUUCCCUCCUCUGGGAGGAAAAUAUGACUCCAGUGUGGACCCUCUUUCUUCUCACGUCCUGGACAAGACUGUCUUCUCUAGGUCAAGAACUAGGAAAAUCUCCUCAAUCCACUGCCCAGACACCUGUCCUCCAACAGUUUGUGUCAUGGGGAUCCCUGACAUUUGGAAUGAGACAAUUCCCCACAGCCCAGCCUCUGUCUGGGUCAAUUUUCCAUUAUAGUCAGGCUGCCUCUCAGUGUGUAGGACACUGCUGUCUCCUGGCCUGUCCCCUACCCUACAGGGCUUUCAUUCUCAGUCUCCUAUGUGAGUCCCUCCUCUUCCCCCUGGAAUCUUGUUGUUGGAGCGUCCUAAGGAUCAGUGGUGGGCUUCUUGACCCACGUAACAUCUCUUGAUUUUCAUCAGUGGGAUCAAUGGAUGAAAUGCCAUCAACUCCCAAACUAAUCUUCAGCCCAGCUCUCUUGGUUGAACUGUAGACUCUUGCAUCCAAUUUGUUAUUUGAUAACACCACAUGGAUGUAUCAUGUAUGUUGCAGACUUUUUACAUCUCAAGUGGAAACACUGAUUGAUCAUCUCCCCAGAUCCCCUCAUCUACCAGUUUCUUUCUCGGAAUUUCUGUCUCAGUUGAAGAUAACUGCAUCGUUUUCAGUGAAAACCAAAGUGGUUUGACAUAAUCCUUUACCCUUUCAUUCUCUAACAUACUCCAGCUAAUCUAUGGGAAAAGACUGUUGUUUCUGCCUUCAAAACAUGCCUGGAUCUGAUUAUUGAUUCCUGGUUCCCCUACAACUGCCAAGUCUGAGACACCAACACCUCCCACUGGCAGAACUGCAAGAACCUGUCCCUGUGCCGUGCUUCCACCUUCACCAACCACAGCGGCCAGAGUGAUCCUUUUAUGCCAUAAAUCAGGUCCUGCUGCUCUGCUCAGAACCCCGGAGAGUUUCCACAUUUCACGGAGUAAAAGCUGGGAUCCCUACAAUCUCCUGUGCCCUAACGUAAUGUGUCCUCCUGCGCACUUUUCGGGAUACGUCUUCUACUCUUUUGCCUGUCAGUCUCUUCCCUCUAGUUUCCUGACCUUUUACUGUUCCUUGAGGACACCUGGCAUGUGCCUGCCUCAGGGCUACUUUAGUCCCACCCCACCUGCAUGUGCCGGGCUAAGUUCUUCAUCCCCUAUAAGUCUUUGCUCAAAAGUAAUUUUCUCAAGGAUGCCUAUAUAAAAAUGAUUGUCAUAUUAACAUGAACAAAUAACAGAGCAUGGAUUUCUAUCUUAAAUUCUUUAUAAUUUCUUUCCUGCAUUUUAGUACCCUGAAAUACCUUCCCUCCAAGUACUGGGUCUUUCUCAUGACCUAAUAAUCUGAAAAUAUAGUUAAACUGUUGUAAGCAAUAAGGGACAGUUAUGGCUUAAUGAGCAGCUUAUCAGAACUCAGAUGAUGAAAAGAGAAACCAGUUAUACACUCUUUCUCCAUACUCCUCUAUGCUCUAUCUUGGUUCACUUUUCAGGCAUAUGUCCUUUACAUAUUGGCGAGAUGGUUGCAACAGCCCCAAAACCUUAUAUUAUCUCAGAAAUAAGUAGAGGAGAAAAAGUCUUCUGCCUUCUUCCCCCAACAUUCUCCAGCCAAUGUCUGAUUGUUUCGAGGGCCCCUCUCAUAACCCACCAGGACCUCUGAAAUGGGUUGAAUGCUCAGAUUAGGUCAAGUGUGGCCCAAGAAUGCUGGUGGUCUUCAAACCCUUUUUGGGGUAUCCGUGGGGUGUUUCCUUCCCAACCACCCAUUUGUGUGAGGCCAGAUUCUCUCUCUCUUAUUCCAAAUACAGUAUAAUUUUAUUACCUGUAAUUCUCAUGUCUACAUUAGAUCUCUAGAUGCAUUCAUCCAUCAUAGAUAUGAUACAAAGCAGAUCUACUUUGUAUCCUCUGAACUACAUCUCCCCAUUUCCUCCACCAAACCCUCCCUGGUAACUACUGUUUUGUUCUCUAUCUCUGUAUAGUUGUUGUUGUUUUGUUUUGUUUUGUUUUUACAGAUUCCAGAUAUAAGUGAGAUCAUGCAAUUUAUUUUUUCUAUGUCUGAGUUAUUUCCCUUAGCAUAAGUCCAGGCUCGUCCAUGUUUUGACAAAUAGCAAGAUCUUUUUAUUUCUUAGGGCUGAAUAAUUGCACCACAGGUUCUUUAUCCAUUCGACCAGUGACAGGCACUUAGGUUGUUUCCGUAUCUUGGCUAUUGUGGAUAAUGCUGCAGUGAACAUGGGAGUGCAGAUGUCUUUACAGGGUAAUAAUUUCAUUUCCUUUCUGUAUGUACCCAGAGGAAGGAUUGCUGGGGCACACAGUAGUUCUAUUUUUAAUUUCUUUAGAAAUCUCCAUGCUGUUUUCCAUAGCAGCUAUACCAAAUCUGCAUUUCCACUAACAGCACACAAGAGUUCUCUUUUCUCCACAUCCUAGACAACAGUUGUUAUGUUUUGCCUUUUCUUUUCAUUAUUAUACUUUAAGUUCUAGGGUACAUGUGCACAAUGUGCAGGUUUGUUACAUAUGUAUACAUGUGCCAUGUUGGUGUGCUGCACCCAUUAAGUCGUCAUUUACAUUAGAUAUGUUUCCUAAUGCUAUCACUUUCCCCUCCCCCGAACCCACAACAGGCCCUGGUGUGUGAUGUUCCCAUUCCUGUGUCCAAGUGUUCUCAUUGUUCAAUUCCUACCUAUGAGUGAGAACAUGCGGUGUUUGGCUUUUUGUCCUUGCGAUAGUUUGCUGAGAAUGAUGGUUUACAGCUUCAUCCAUGUCCCUACAAAGGACAUGAACUCAUUCUUUUUUGUGGCUGCGUAGUAUUCCAUGGUGUAUAUGUGCCACAUUUUCUUAAUCCAGUCUAUCACUGAUGGACAUUUGGGUUGGUCCCAAGUCUUUGCUAUUGUGAAUAGUGCCACAACAAACAUAUGUGUGCAUGUGUCUUUAUAGCAGCAUGAUUUAUAAUCCUUUGAGUAUCUUCCUAGAAAUGGGAUGGCUGGGUCAGAUGGUAUUUCUAGUUCUAGAUCCUUGAGGAAUCACCACACUGUCUUCCACAAUGGUUGACCUAGUUUGUAGUCCCACCAACAGUGUAAAAGUGUUCCUAUUUCUCCACAUCCUCCCCAGCACCUGUUGUUUCCUGACUUCUUAAUGAUUGCCAUUCUAACUGGUGUGAGAUGGCAUCUCAUUGUGGUUUUGAUUUGCAUUUCUCUGACGGCCAGUGAUGUUGAGCAUUUUUUCAUGUGUCUGUUGGCUGCAUAAAUGUCUUCUUUUGAGAAGUGCCUGUUCAUAUCCUUUGCCCACUUUUUGAUUGGGUUGUUUGAUUUUUUUUCUUGUAAAUUUGUUUAAGUUCUUUGUAGAUUCUGGAUAUUAGCCCUUUGUCAGACGGGUAGAUUGUAAAAAUUUUCUCCCAUUCUGUAGGUUGCCUGUUCACUCUGAUGGUAGUUUCUUUUGAUGUGCAGAAGCUCUUUAGUUUAAUUAGAUCCCAUUUGUCAAUUUUGGCUUUGGUAGCAUUGCUUUUGGUGUUUUAGACAUGAAGUCCUUGCCCAUGCCUAUGUCCUGAAUGGUAUUGCCUAGGCUUUCUUCUAGGGUUUUUAUGGCUUUAGGUCUAAUAUUUAAGUCUUUAAUCCAUCUUGAAUUAAUUUUUGUAUAAGGUGUAAGGAAGAGAUCCAGUUUCGGCUUUCUACAUAUGGCUAGCCAGUUUUCCCAGCAUGAUUUAUUAAAUAGGGAAUCCUUUCCCCAUUUCUUGUUUUUGUCAGAUUUGUCAAAGAUCAGAUGGUUGUAGAUGUGUGGUAUUAUUUCUGAGGUCUCUCUUCUGUUCCAUUGGUCUAUAUCUUUGUUUUGGUACCAGUACCAUGCUGUUUUGGUUACUGUAGCCUUGUAGUAUAGUUUGAAGUCAGGUAGCAUGAUGCCUCCAGCUUUGUUCUUUUGGCUUAGGAUUGUCUUGGAAAUGAGGGCUCUUUUUUGGUUCCAUAUGAAAUUUAAAGUAGUUUUUUUCCAAUUCUGUGAAGAAAGUCAUUGGUAGCUUGAUGGGGAUGGCAUUGAAUGUACAAAUUACCUUGGGCAGUAUGGCUAUUUUCACAAUAUUGAUUCUUCCUAUCCAUGAGCAUGGAAUGUUCUUCCAUUUGUUUGUGUCCUCUUUUAUUUCAUUGAGCAGUGGUUUUUAGUUCUCCUUGAAGAGGUCCUUCACAUCCCUUGUAAGUUGGAUUCUUAGGUAUUUUAUUCUCUUUGAAGCAGUUGUGAAUGGGAGUUCACUCAUGAUUUGGCUCUCUGAUAGUCUAUUAUUGGUGUAUAGAAAUGCUUGUGAUUUUUGCACAUUGAUUUUGUAUCCUGAGACUUUGCUGAAGUUGCUUAUCAGCUUAAGGAGAUUUUGGGCUGAGAUGAUGGGGUUUUCUAAAUAUACAAUCAUGUCAUCUGCAAACAGGGACAAUUUGAUUUCCUCUUUUCCUAACUGAAUACUCUUUAUUUCUUUCUCUGCCUGAUUGUCCUGGCCAGAGCUUCUAACACUAUGUUGAAUGGGAGUGGUGAGAGAGGGCAUCCCUGUCUUGUGCCAGUUUUCAAAAGGAAUGCUUCCAGUUUUUGCCCGUUCAGUAUGAUAUUGCCUGUGAGUUUGUCAUAAAUAGCUCUUAUUAUUUUGAGAUACGUCCCAUAAAUACCUAACUUAACGAGAGUUUUUAGCAUGAAGGGCUGUUGAAUUUUAUCGAAGGCCUUUUCUGCAUCUAUUGAGAUAAUCAUGUGGUUUUUGUCUUUGGUUCUGUUUAUAUGAUGGAUUACAUUUAUUGAUUUGCAUGUGUUGAACCAGCCUUGCAUCCCAGGGAUGAAGCCCACUUGAUCAUGGUGGAUAAGU
This is a long non-coding RNA of Papio anubis (olive baboon), 4883 nucleotides long. The record is from Ensembl. NCBI's taxonomy places the organism in Eukaryota, Metazoa, Chordata, Mammalia, Primates, Cercopithecidae.